AGAGAAAUGAAGUACGUGCUUGUGACAGGAGGAGUUGUCAGUGGGCUCGGCAAGGGCGUUACUGCUAGCAGCAUAGGCGUCGUCCUUAAAGCUUGCGGCCUUCGAGUCACCUCCAUCAAAAUAGAUCCUUACCUGAAUACUGAUGCUGGUACCAUGUCCCCCUUCGAGCAUGGGGAGGUCUUUGUUCUUGAUGAUGGCGGAGA
RNAcentral lists this unclassified non-coding RNA (203 nucleotides) under Hevea brasiliensis (rubber tree). Lineage: Eukaryota; Viridiplantae; Streptophyta; Magnoliopsida; Malpighiales; Euphorbiaceae. The record is from RNAcentral.